AUUGAACGCUGGCGGCAUGCCUUACACAUGCAAGUCGAACGGCAGCACGGGGGCAACCCUGGUGGCGAGUGGCGAACGGGUGAGUAAAGCAUCGGAACGUACCCGGAAGUGGGGGAUAACGUAGCGAAAGUUACGCUAAUACCGCCUAUUCUGUGAGCAGGAAAGCAGGGGAUCGCAAGACCUUGCGCUUUCGGAGCGGCCGAUGUCGGAUUAGCUAGUUGGUGGGGUAAAGGCCUACCAAGGCGACGAUCCGUAGCGGGUCUGAGAGGAUGAUCCGCCACACUGGGACUGAGACACGGCCCAGACUCCUACGGGAGGCAGCAGUGGGGAAUUUUGGACAAUGGGCGAAAGCCUGAUCCAGCCAUGCCGCGUGAGUGAAGAAGGCCUUCGGGCUGUAAAGCUCUUUCGGCGGGGAAGAAAUCGCACUUACUAAUACUGAGUGUGGAUGACGGUACCCGAAUAAGAAGCACCGGCUAACUACGUGCCAGCAGCCGCGGUAA
RNAcentral lists this ribosomal RNA (500 nucleotides) under uncultured bacterium. RNAcentral describes it as "partial 16S ribosomal RNA". It matches the Rfam family "Bacterial small subunit ribosomal RNA", at positions 29 to 523 of the family's 1533-position model. The record is from RNAcentral.